This is a long non-coding RNA of Megalopta genalis, 559 nucleotides long. RefSeq lists it as uncharacterized. The record is from RefSeq and is a predicted model, not a curated record. Lineage: Eukaryota; Metazoa; Arthropoda; Insecta; Hymenoptera; Halictidae.
GCUCGAUCGGCGUCUCGCCAAGUUCCGCUCGGUAGAAAAAGAAUCGUCAUGGGGCUUUGGGGGCACCUUGAACACCCUUAUCAUUUCCUGUAUCUGCGUUACCGACGGUUCACGAAAAAUAGACACGUCAGCAUGAAGCGAAUAUCCUGUAUACUUCAUUUCAACUACGAGUGCCGAAAAUUAUUUGGAGGCAAUAAGCAUGGGUAUUUACAACCGAAUAAUUUAUAUUCAAAUUGGCUGUAAACUGUGGAUUGUAUUGAAUUCAGAUGAACAAUAUCGUACCGGAAACAGUUUUGGUAUGAAAAAAGAAGGAUUGAAAGAGAUGAGAACAUGAAUGUAUGCAUAUGCCAGAGACACUUUUUUACAUCCUCCUUAUAGAGUGAUAUUGAUUAACCAUUUGAGAGAAGAAAAUACGAUUGUCACGAAUAUAGGUCGUAUUCGUUUCUUUGCGAUAUUUCAUUAUGUGCGAAACAAAAAUACAGCAUUCUAUUUAAAAGAAUUAAAAUCUAUGUAAACUCUAUGCAAACAAAAAAAACAAAGGAAAAAUACAUUUGACCCU